Molecule: ribosomal RNA, 378 nt
Filed under: Triticum aestivum (bread wheat)
Lineage: Eukaryota; Viridiplantae; Streptophyta; Magnoliopsida; Poales; Poaceae
Description: partial small subunit ribosomal RNA
Source: RNAcentral
AUGGCCUCACGUGGUGAAGUGAAGCGUAGAAACAAGGAUAGUGAACUUGAUUGCAGAGCUCUUAAGCUGUCCACAUGUAAAAUCAAGAAGGUUGGGAUUGGAGGCCCUCUAAUUAAUUUUGGUGGGAAUCUCGUCGGCAUGAACUUCUAUGAUGGGCAUGAAGAAACUCCUUUCCUGCCAAGGAGUAAGGUUGUCGACGUUUUAAAGAAAAAGAUUGGUCUAGCACUAUCAUCGGAAAGAGGAUUGAACCAGCCUGAGGAAAUACAGGGAGGGUGGAAGGAAAAUAGGUGGCCCGUGCCCACGCCAUAUUGGUAUCAUGGUGUACUUGAGGUGGAUAGGUGGAUUUUACCGGACGUUCAUGGAAUGAAUCUCCAAUAG